GCCAUAGCGGGUGAUAGCCCCGUAGGCGAAAACAGUAUGAAAGAACUAGGUGUGCGACAAGUAGGGCGGGACACGUGAAAUCCUGUCUGAAGAUGGGGGGACCAUCCUCCAAGGCUAAAUACUCGUGAUCGACCGAUAGUGAACCAGUACCGUGAGGGAAAGGUGAAAAGAACCCCGGGAGGGGAGUGAAAUAGAUCCUGAAACCGCAUGCAUACAAACAGUCGGAGCCUCGAAAGGGGUGACGGCGUACCUUUUGUAUAAUGGGUCAGCGACUUACGUUCAGUAGCAAGCUUAACCGUAUAGGGCAGGCGUAGCGAAAGCGAGUCCGAAUAGGGCGUUCAGUUGCUGGGCGUAGACCCGAAACCAAGUGAUCUAUCCAUGGCCAGGAUGAAGGUGCGGUAACACGUACUGGAGGUCCGAACCCACUAACGUUGAAAAGUUAGGGGAUGAGCUGUGGAUAGGGGUGAAAGGCUAAACAAACUUGGAAAUAGCUGGUUCUCUCCGAAAACUAUUUAGGUAGUGCCUCGUGUCUCACCUUCGGGGGUAGAGCACUGUCAUGGUUGGGGGGUCUAUUGCAGAUUACCCCGCCAUAGCAAACUCCGAAUACCGAAGAGUGCAAUCACGGGAGACAGACAUCGGGUGCUAACGUCCGGUGUCAAGAGGGAAACAACCCAGACCGCCAGCUAAGGUCCCCAAAUAUAGCUAAGUGGGAAACGAAGUGGGAAGGCUAAAACAGUCAGGAGGUUGGCUUAGAAGCAGCCACCCUUUAAAGAAAGCGUAAUAGCUCACUGAUCGAGUCGUCCUGCGCGGAAGAUGUAACGGGGCUAAGCUAUAUACCGAAGCUGCGGAUGCGUGCUUUGCACGCAUGGUAGGAGAGCGUUCUGUAAGCCUGCGAAGGUGUCUCGGAAGGGAUGCUGGAGGUAUCAGAAGUGCGAAUGCUGACAUGAGUAGCGAUAAAGGGGGUGAAAGGCCCCCUCGCCGUAAGCCCAAGGUUUCCUACGCAACGUUCAUCGGCGUAGGGUGAGUCGGCCCCUAAGGCGAGGCAGAAAUGCGUAGCUGAUGGGAAGCAGGUCAAUAUUCCUGCACCAUUGUUAGAUGCGAUGGGGGGACGGAUCGCGGAAGGUUGUCCGGGUGUUGGAAGUCCCGGU
This 1148-nucleotide ribosomal RNA is filed under the name Burkholderia lata. Its description in RNAcentral is "23S ribosomal RNA (partial)". It matches the Rfam family "Bacterial large subunit ribosomal RNA", at positions 354 to 1511 of the family's 2925-position model. The record is from RNAcentral. Lineage: Bacteria; Pseudomonadati; Pseudomonadota; Betaproteobacteria; Burkholderiales; Burkholderiaceae.